RNAcentral lists this unclassified non-coding RNA (542 nucleotides) under Candida dubliniensis. RNAcentral's name for it is "sequence contains 18S rRNA gene, ITS1, 5.8S rRNA gene, ITS2, 28S rRNA gene". The stretch from base 181 to 334 matches the Rfam family "5.8S ribosomal RNA". The record is from RNAcentral. Lineage: Eukaryota; Fungi; Ascomycota; Pichiomycetes; Serinales; Debaryomycetaceae.
GUAACAAGGUUUCCGUAGGUGAACCUGCGGAAGGAUCAUUACUGAUUUGCUUAAUUGCACCACAUGUGUUUUGUUUUGGACAAACUUGCUUUGGCGGUGGGCCUCUACCUGCCGCCAGAGGACAUAAACUUACAACCAAAUUUUUUAUAAACUUGUCACGAGAUUAUUUUUAAUAGUCAAAACUUUCAACAACGGAUCUCUUGGUUCUCGCAUCGAUGAAGAACGCAGCGAAAUGCGAUACGUAAUAUGAAUUGCAGAUAUUCGUGAAUCAUCGAAUCUUUGAACGCACAUUGCGCCCUCUGGUAUUCCGGAGGGCAUGCCUGUUUGAGCGUCGUUUCUCCCUCAAACCCCUAGGGUUUGGUGUUGAGCAAUACGACUUGGGUUUGCUUGAAAGAUGAUAGUGGUAAGGCGGAGAUGCUUGACAAUGGCUUAGGUGUAACCAAAAACAUUGCUAAGGCGGUCUCUGGCGUCGCCCAUUUUAUUCUUCAAACUUUGACCUCAAAUCAGGUAGGACUACCCGCUGAACUUAAGCAUAUCAAUAA